GUGGUAGUUGAGUGAACGGGCUAUCAAAAAAGGUCUCGUUUUAUCCUCUAUCGAGGCAGGAUAGUAUUAUUAUACCUAAAAGAAGGGUUCUAAAACAGUUUAGAGAACUAAUCUGGGUCUAUUAGCCACUGGUAUCUAAGUGGUACUCCCAUGCCAGCGAUAAUAAUAUCAUCAUAUACCUCGCCAGGAGGUACUUAAAGGUACGAUCUAGGUGAAAGAAAACUAAAAAUCAUGAAGUUCCCCGGUGAAUCUUUCUCUCGGCAAAGCAGAACAAGAAGCAGCAGAAAGCAAAACAGUAUAAGGGUCGUUCGGAGUUCCAGGCACAAAACAAUUCUAUAGAACUGGGUAUACCAAACAGUUGAUCAACAAGGAAAAUGUCCACUAAACCAGCUAAACGGCUCACGAAUUGUUUGGAAUGCAACGGCAAAUGUGAUCUCCCAGCAAUAUCUCGAGUCCAAAACCUCACCCAUCUACAUAUAUCAUCAUCUGCGGCAAGAACAUAGCAACACCAAAAUCCUACCAGCAACUGCUGCAAUGCACCCUCCUCACGACAGCCAACCAUCGACGGUGUCAGACUAUGAUUCAGUUGUUGUACUACUCCUCUUUGUUCUGUUUCAUGUUUUUGGCGGUUUCGUUCUUGUGUCUUAGUCCGAAGAAGACAGUGGAUGUUGAUCCAGUAGCAAAAUUGUGCUUCCUGUUGCAGGAUUUAUGUAUCGUGCCGUGCGUAGAUACGGACGACAUGGAAAAAAUCCAGGUUUAUGUACGACAUGCUCUUUCCUUCCUUCAUUCGGUGACGCACAGAGGUGGCAGAGUCUUAUUCCUGGAGUCGCUCACAACUUUUGGGAGCACCGAGAUCCUGAAUAAGAUGCUGCACGAAUUGGCUGAGGUGUUGGGAGCCCCCAAUAGAGAAGGACGAUGCGGAAAGGUAUGGUGGGAAUACAAACAGGCCUGGACAGAAGAAGUAGACGAAAGACCUCCAGGCUGUGUCGUCAUUCUCAAUCCUGAAAAGAGAGCGCACAUCCUGAGGAAGGCGCGUCAUGCAAAGGUUCCCAUUUUUUUUCCUUAGUUGACCCCGUGUUUCUAUCGGAUCCUAAGCUUCAUCGGGACAAGCGCAUAAACCAUCCCAUCCCGGUAGAGGGGACAGAGCAGCUCAGCGGGCUAAUCAGUGACCUCAUCUACCCAAAGACUUUAUUUCUGCUGUACUUUCUUAAGCAAUAGGAAUUAGAAUUUCGUAGGUAGAGGGGGCCAAGGUGCCAGAAACAUGGAUUUCAUGGAAACAAGGUAAUCCGUAGUUGGUAGCAGAUGUUCCGCGGGAUCAGAUAUCCUCCGUCUUGUCUCUGCAUUCGAGGAAUGCUUGUAGCUGUGCUAGGCGUGAGAAGAACUCUACAAUAUGAUUUCUACGAUUGGUACCAGAUUGGAAUUCAUUCUCGGAACUCUCCUCUAGAGAAUGGCCUGGCUAAAGAGAGUGAUAGAUCCAUCGUGUCGUGUGGAAAAUAAAGCUAGGCGCCACUAUUCGUCCUCAGCCGUAUUCUCAUUCUGGGAAAAGAUAUGGCUCGUUCUGGGAAACGAUCAGUAGUAGUGGUGGAUGGCAGGUAUGGAAGGAUCCCGGCAAGUUCCUAUCUGAGAUUACCACCGGCCCUGCCCUGAGCUGACUUCUUUGCUAGUAGUGAAGUGCGUUUUCACUUAGUUGGAAAAGUCCAUAAUCCGAUUUGACCUCGGGAGCCUGUCCACGGAUCUGAUCAAAGUAUGAUUCCCUAGUGCCAAAAGUCCUAAAGCCUAUGGCGCCAAGCAUGGGGAGUCCGCGGAGAAGAAAAACUCUAUUUCGCUAUGGGCCAAAACUAGUGUUUUUUCGGAUUUCUAGUCUAGUUUAAGUGCAGGGCAAGAGAGUUCUCUUCCAGUAUUCUUAGCUGACUGUCCGCUUGCUUGACUCGAACAAAUAGCUUUUGUUUCCACAAGGCAGAUCCCAUUCCUCGAAUGAAAAGGACAAGAAAGACGAAUUCUGGCUGGAAGGAAGGGUUCUCGUAUUGGUUCUUCUGGUGCGCUACUUCCUUGUGCUGUGCCAGAUUGGAAUUGGUAUCGGAAUCCUGGUUGGUAGAAGGAAGCUCGGGUAUUGCUUAUUGUUGAAAGCACUCGUUUGUUCCGGCUCGUGAGUUGAAAGCACUCGUUUGUUCCGGCUCGUGAUGUGUCUGACGCAUGCAUAGAAUCAAGAUCUAUUGAGACCGGGAUGUUUGUUUCUUCCUCGAAACAAGAGAUACGCUCUGGCUUAUUUGCAUUCGACCGGAGAACCUCACUUAUCAACUGCCCUGAAUUGGAUCUACUUACGAUUUGAGAAACUGGCUCCAGAACCCCUGUUUUUGAUGCAGAAUCGGUGGUUCCUUCUCUUUUUCGUGAUUUCAUCCAUAAAUCAAUGGAAAGAGCACUUUAUUCAGUGAAUUGACACGUUCCUGAUGCUUUUACAGUAGCAGCAGUCUCGGUAGCAGAAGUAGAUCCGAGUGUAGAUACCGGGAUCAUAUCACCACUAUUGACUAUUUCAAUUCAUUCACAUCUGCUUGUAUCAAUCAAAGCUUCCUAUCAAGCAAUCCCAGCAGCAAUCAAGUUGGCACCCACUAUAUAAGAUGCACUAUUUCCUGAUCUUGUCCCAAACCCAACUCGGCACUUUUAGACCUGGCCUGGAUCCCUCCCUUCUCCGACAAUAUAUGCAACCUUAAAGAAAAGAGACCACUCUCAGAACGACCCUUCGGAAAGCCCCACAACAAGCUAUCCCAGAAGAAAUUGUAUAACUUGGCCAAAGUAUUCACUUCCAGUUCCCUUUGCAAUAAGAUCACAGUAGAUACUGUUUAGAAGGCUCACUCUCUCGUCUACAAAAAAUAGAUGUGUGCUUACUUCUUGGAGAUUGACUCCUGCCGGUAAGUGCACACCCUCAGUAGUAUCUCUAUAGACUUUAUAGAGUAUUUCCAAUUGAUAAAUGAUUUGUUCUUUAAGAACAUCUUUGGAUAUAUCAGUUACUUGUGUUUCAACAUUAAUAGCAUUUAUGUGAUGGAUCAUCCGGCCAGCCCUAACGGCGACAAGAAUAGCUAUCGACAAUGACAAACCCAAUGAUACAAUAUACUCAAAUAUAAUCGUUUCCAUAAAAAUCUGCCAUCAUUUUUUGAGUCAUACUUGUCCCUUAGCAGACUCACUCUUGUCUUGCUUCAUCUAAGGAGUGAUAAGUGCCAGGAGUCUGCCUCUAGCAUCAAUACAUGUCCUAGUUACGAACAAAGAAGCGGUGUUGUCUCCUUAGCGUUAGCGGCCUUAUGCCUAUUUCAGUAUACGCCCGUGUCAAUAUGUCUAGACUUACCUAUACCCAUGCUUCCUUCUUCUUUGACUAGCUUGCUUCCCCUAUCAAAUAGAACGGGAAUGACUGCGUGCUGGGCCAUCGUUAGUAAGCCCGCGUAGGGUAGGACCAUCAUCGAGCAAAUGUUCCUUCAAAGGCGCGGAGCGUGCUAUGGCAGAUUUUCAUCCCGCAAGAGGAUGCGCCUAACUAAAACGCCGAAAGGCAGUGCAACCCAAUCCGUUGCUUUGCUUGUUGGGUCCACUUUUUGAAAGUUUCUUUGUUCGUAACAUUAGUAGUUACUCACUGCAUUAGUAGUUACUCAUUGGGUGGGUGCACCAACGGCUUUCUAGGAAUUUGAGUUGCUCCAUACGGACGGAAAGAUUCUUUCGUGAAAUAAAAGAACGGCAGCGGCAGGUUGAUGAGGGAAAGGAAACCAGAUCUUUUUUCUAUGGUAUGGCCUGGGUGGCCUAAGCGAAAUCCCGAGAUAUGAAGGAGCCGAUCAAUCUACCCGCCUGAGGUAAGCUUGCUCCUCACUUGAGUUGAAGCUGCCUCCGCUCCCUGCCGUCAUACGGAUUGAUUUACUUUAUCUUGACAUACGCUACGCAUAUAUUUGCUAGAGAUAUCAAUCGAAAUAGGAGCUUUUUGAAAAUACAAAUCGAUAUAUCCAUGGUAUUGAAUGGACAAGAAUUGAAUGGGAUUGUGGCACCCAGUGAUACACUACGCCAUGUUACGAACAAAGAAAUGAUCAAGAAUUUCAUUAUGGCAUGGCGCUAUAGGCCAUCGAUUCGGUUUAUUAAUUCAUGUGUGUACUCCUGUUCGAUCCUUUUCUGAUGAAAUGAAUGAAUUACCACGCUUUCCGCCGGCUGAUAAAGAACUUUUUGAUGAUCGAUUGCUUCACCCAUGAUCUGAUGAUCUUGCUAUAACAUAACAUACUGCAUUUCCCCUCUUCCUUGUCUCUACUUACUUGUUCAUUGCUCGACUCGAGGGAGGGGCUCUAUAUAGCUGUUUUGCCUUCUUUCUUGGACUCUCAGGUGAGCGCUUAGGCCAAGCCACAAUUACCAAGGCAUGAUUGAAUCCGCCAAAGAGAAGGGAAUAGAUGAUCUCACUGGAAAAAGUUGCGUAACCCCCCCGUUUUUUUGGCAUGAUUUCAAGAUUUUGACCUGAUUUAUGAGAAAAGAACUUAGUUUUGCAUUAACCCAAAAGAAUCUCCUUAUAAUUGAGUGUGCAGUAAAGGGGGUUGUUACACCAAAUCCCUCUGGUGAAGCUCUAUCUAACUGCUUGUUAAUAGCGGAUUGGGUAUUGGUCGAUCGAAAGCUGUGAUACGCAAAAUCCUCAGCAAAAUGAAAUGCGGACUACAAUUAAGUUAGUUGAAAAAGAGAGUAAGGAAUGGGACCGUCAACAGGAACUCUUGAAUUGAGGGUUUUUCACACUACCUAUAGAGAGAUUGAACCAACACGGUGCCCACGGUAACUCCUCCACCCGUACUGUUUGCUUUCGUGGGGCUUUGCUGCGCUUUGGAUCUUAUCAGGUGGCAACCACCUUCGGUUCUAGACUCUGGCACUUCCCCUGGCUGUGGCACUUUCACUGUCGCCUACUCCUACUAUUGGGUCGAUUGUGGUUGGUGUUUUGAUUCAAAAGUGGAGAAUAGAUUGUUCAUUGCGAAGGACAUCAGAAAUCUACAUACAAGGGUCAAGAUGUAAGCUCAAGUUAAGUGGACGGGUCCAAAGAUCAGGGAAAAGGGUAGAUCGGGACAUGGUUGCAAGGGCUAUAUAUCUAUAUAGUUACAAAUGAAUGAAAACGCCAUGCUUAAAGCCAAAAGAAUAAGCUCUUGAUACGGAUCUCUUUCAUCUUGUAAAUAAAGUAGGGGCGUCCCUAACUACAGCUUCCUACCAUAAGUCAGACAUUCAGCUAAUACUGAAGAAAUCUUCUUCUGGGGACACCUCUCUAAAAUAAGAAUGAUGGCGUUUUUGAUCUUAUUCAUUUUCUGAUCGAUAAAUGCGAGAAUGUAGUUAUUUUUAUGAAACCGGAUAUUCAACAUGCUUUCCUCGACCAGAUCUAUUUACGGGAGUCGUAUUUCGAACUGACCCCAGGUCUGAUCUGGAAAUGGUAAAUCCUAUUUGAUCUUCAAGGUUAAGUACUUCUGCGAGACUAUCAGCAUCUUAUCUGGUUGAUAGCACUCAACCCACUGAAUAUACGUUUUAUAUGGGAGCCCUAACUCCACCAUGCAAUUCAACAAGCUGAGGACGGAGAAGUCAACCGGUCUCACGUUUUCUUCUUUUCUUUUUAAAGAACCUGCCCCGAAGGAAAGCAUAUUAUAGGGGAAGAGCUAGCUUCAUUCGAGCUGGAUGGGCUAAAAGCUUUCGUUGAGACAAAGCAGGCAAAAAAAAAGUUCGAGAACAGGAUAACUAACGUUUGGAACCAAGAGAUCUCAUAGUUCUUCAAGUGAGAAGCUGAGAAGGGAUGACACCCAUUUGACCUAGAAGACCGAUGAUCAAGUGUCAAAUUCUAAGCCAAGAGAUGGCAAUGGGACUAUAGGAGCACGGUACUAAACCAUCAUACCAUACCAGUGACUUCACCAACCGAAACCAACUCAAAUAAGUUCAGGGAGGAAAAGAAUACAGUCAUGAUAGAUUGGUGAAUGAGGAAGGAAAAGAAAGCCUAAACUAUCCAAGUAAGAUAGCGAAAGAGAAAGCUGUCUUUAAAGCCUGUUUUGACCAAGCAAGCAAGCUGGAGCACCUUUCACGCUAGCUUCCCAUCGCUCGAAGUACACUUCCGGUGCACUUCUCACUGCUCAACCACUUUAUCUUUAACCUAACCGCCUUCUAAAACUUCCACGGGAAAGCCAGUAGAGUAUGCCUUGGUUUAAGAGAGGAGCUCAGGUCCAUCUUGUGCUCACAAUACAUCUUAUUUAGCAGGACCUCUGGGCUCUUUAGAGAAAGGCGAAGUCUCUACUUGUUAACCAUGGAUGCCUAUUAUAUUUACUUAUAGAGUGAAGAACAAGCCCACUUUCCAUAUCCCUUUCGUCCGGAUGAUCGAUUGCCUCAUUCUUCUUCGAAAAUAAGUGCAUUUGGCCAUUGUGUUUUUCCAACUUUUGUAAUAGAUAUGGGCAUGCAUGGUUUUCAAUAGAUAACCCUAGGCCUUCUUCGUUUCCCCACGGGCAUUCACUUCUCUUCAAGCUCGGGAUUAGCGAAACAUGGAUCCGACGCCCAUCUCUUUUUCCACUUUGCAAGGCUGAGAGACUUUACCAAUUGAUAAAAAAAAGCAUGAGCAGGAUCAGCAGAGGCAAAAUCGAAUAAAAUGGCUUAUUUGCACCUUUCUUUGGUAGGCAACGAAUCUCACGGAAUGUGGGAAUCUUUUAUAGAUGUGAAUUCUCGCUUUAACGCUUCGAUAACAUACUUAUCAUCAGGUAUCUUCGGGAGCGGGGCUCGCCCUCAACAGAUAUUGUCUUUGCUUCCGCUGAUGUCGCGUCAAUUGCCCGAGGGAGCAUAACACUGCAGGUCGCAAUGAACAUGCCCGCCGCAUCUCGGAUAAUUGCUCCAGUUGCGCCAAUUCCAGUAUCCGAGACAGAAAGCAGCAUCCACGUGAACUUUGACUGUUCA
Molecule: long non-coding RNA, 6912 nt
Filed under: Triticum aestivum (bread wheat)
Lineage: Eukaryota; Viridiplantae; Streptophyta; Magnoliopsida; Poales; Poaceae
Description: long non-coding RNA (TAES_LNC024869)
Source: RNAcentral